AACGAACGCUGGCGGCGCGUUUUAAGCAUGCAAGUCGAGCGGUAAGCUAACUUCGGUUAGCCUAGAGCGGCGGACGGGUGAGUAACACGUGGAUAAUCUACCUCCUUGUUUGGGAUAGCUUGUGGAAACAUAAGGUAAUACCGAAUGAGAUUCAUUAGUCAAAAGGCUUUUGAAGGAAAGGCGCUGAGGCGUCGCAAGGAGAUGAGUCCGCGGCCCAUUAGCUAGACGGCAGGGUAAAAGCCUACCGUGGCAAUGAUGGGUAGCCGGCCUGAGAGGGUGAUCGGCCACAUUGGAACUGAGAUACGGUCCAG
Molecule: ribosomal RNA, 311 nt
Filed under: uncultured bacterium
Lineage: Bacteria
Description: bacterial SSU rRNA
Rfam family: Bacterial small subunit ribosomal RNA
Source: RNAcentral